UACAGAGGGGGCAAGCGUUGUUCGGAAUUACUGGGCGUAAAGCGUGCGCAGGCGGUUUUGUAAGCCAGAUGUGAAAUCCCCGGGCUUAACCUGGGAAUGGCAUUUGGGACUGCAAGGCUUGAGUGCGGCAGAGGAGACUGGAAUUCCCGGUGUAGCAGUGAAAUGCGUAGAUAUCGGGAGGAAUACCGAUGGCGAAGGCAGGUCUCUGGGCUGACACUGACGCUCAUGCACGAAAGCGUGGGGAGCAAACAGG
Molecule: ribosomal RNA, 253 nt
Filed under: uncultured bacterium
Lineage: Bacteria
Description: partial 16S ribosomal RNA
Rfam family: Bacterial small subunit ribosomal RNA
Source: RNAcentral